Molecule: long non-coding RNA, 1020 nt
Filed under: Anas platyrhynchos platyrhynchos (common mallard)
Lineage: Eukaryota; Metazoa; Chordata; Aves; Anseriformes; Anatidae
Description: lncRNA (ENSAPLG00000019909.1)
Source: RNAcentral
AAUGGUAAGUAUUUAGGAAGUAAACAAAAGCUUUUGUAUGCAUUAAACCAUUGAGUUUUCCUUUUUUUUUUUUUUUUUCUGUUAUCUCAGUAUUGAUUUUUACCCUGAUGAGGGAGAACAGGCAUAUUUGGUGACUUCCCUGAUGCCCAAAUUAUGAGGCCAUAUAGCACUGGGAUCUAGGCACCAUCUCCUCUUAUCCUCUUAACUGUUUACACAGUGAGUGAUGUCUUUUGGAUGGAGAGCAGAUUCCAGUUUGCAUGCCCAGUUGAGUCUUUCAAAAGCAAUCAGUCUGGUGGUAAAACAACAAUAUUUAGCGAAGCCUCUGGGGAUCAUGAAUGAUAUGCAUGAAUUAUGCAUAUAUGCAUCCACAAAGGCAAACACAUGUAUGCUUACCAUAGGCUUAUCUACCCGGCUUCACACAACAAGGUUGGAAAUAGGGGAAUCAAGUGAAAAGUGACAGCUGGCAAAAUUUCUACCUUGCCCUUUGCCUAUCUGAAUGCAGGUGUUUUGCUUUGAGGUCACGGUAAUGUGUGUAAGUAGUGCACAUAGGAAAGCCUGCUUGAAUUACUGCCAUCACUAGAAGAAAUCUGUCUUGUUCCCAAAAAGCACACCAGUCCCCUCCCCUCUCAUUCUGACAACCAGCAGCAAUGCUGCCCUAUCUUCCAGCAACAGCCCAUCCUCUAAAAGGUGAAUCUGAGAUAAUCAGCAAUAAAGCUGACUUAUCUCUGGGCUGUGACCAAUAUCAGUUUCUCCACAUGCUCACGCGGAGCAGAACAUUUCUGAAGCCUGCUCACAGCAGACACACAGUGGAAGUCCUCCCAAAGCAUCCAGGCUCCUCCUUCCCUGCCAUCAAGGUGAGAUGGGUGUCUAAAUACCCAUCUAAAUACUCAGCAAUACACAUGCUGCUGUCUUGGUAAAGUGCUCUAAAGCAGAUGCUACGGAUUUGGCAGUGGAGAGGCUCAGUGAAGCAGGCUCUCAUGGAAAAAUAAAAGAUAAUAUGAGAGGAAGAUAAUUGUGCUG